Long non-coding RNA from Balaenoptera acutorostrata (minke whale), 4393 nucleotides. RefSeq lists it as uncharacterized. Lineage: Eukaryota; Metazoa; Chordata; Mammalia; Artiodactyla; Balaenopteridae. The record is from RefSeq and is a predicted model, not a curated record. The transcript has 3 exons.
CCAACACUGGAGCCUACCCGGCUGUUUGGUGGGGCUAAUGGCGGACUCUGGGAGGGCUCAUGCCAAGGAGUACGUCCCAGAACUUCUGCUGCCAGUGUCCUUGUACUCACGGUGAGUCAGAGCCACCCCCCACCUCUGCAAGAAACCCUCCGACACUAGCAGGUUAAGAAGACGAUCUGGAAGAGCCAGGAGGACCAGGCCAACCAUUAGAGGGGACAUAAACUGAGACGGAGGCAAGCCACCUGGAGCUGUGUUUGAGCACUGCCCAGCUUUCCUGCUGGCUGCAGCAUUGAGUACAGAGAGCAGCAGUGAUUCACAGUGAGCAAAGUGCUGAACUGAGAAGUGAACGUCACCACGCAGCCCAGGUCACGCUUUACAGGAGUCACAGGGAAGAGCCUUGGGGGUUACGGUCAGCCUUUCAAGAUGACCAGUCCCUCCCCCCGGGACCCCAGGAGCUGUGCAGAGACUAUGGGGAAGCCCCGCCUAUGCCCCAGGUAACUCAGGGGACAUGGGCAGGUGGAGCCCUGACUGGGGAAGGAGAGAGAGGCCCACAGGUUAGAGAGUCAGUACCUCAGACGCUGAGAACAAAGGCCGGCCUCCCGCCCUCUUCCUCCAGCCUCCUUGAGGCUCAUCUCCUCUCCACGACUCGGCAGUCACCACGUCCCACCGAUUCCAUCACCUAGGAACCUCUGCAUCUGUUGCCCUUCGGCAUUCCACUGCCUUGCCCUAGUCUGCCUUCAUCACGUCUUGCCUGGAGCUACAUAGCCUCAGCUUGGAUGGCAGAAUAAGGAGAAACCCAGAAGCAGCAUAUACAAUGCCUGGUAGCCCCUUGGACUCCUCUCCGGCGCUUCCAUCUCCCCCUCUGCUCCCCACCCCCAUUUUACGGUCCAGCCACAGCUGAACUGAGCACCCAGCGACCUCUCCCUACAAUGCUUCCACGUCCUCCCCCAGCACAUCCCGCCCUCCCCACCCUGCCCCACGACUCACCCUCAUAGUCUCUCCUCAUCCUAAUGCAGUACGAGGUCUCCUCCAUCAGGACCAUAUCCCAAGGUGGGAGCAAGUCCACCACCUGUGGGUUGCCAUGGCAACCCCCUUUCAUGGCACGUGGCAAAUUCCAAGGUCAUUGCCUCUUUACCUGUGUGCUUUCCCCAAGAGGUGGGGAGGUCCCUGAGACCAGGGACUGUGGCUGGCGCACAGUGGGUUCUCAAGAAGGGUUUGCUAAGAGACGGAUGAAGACGUUCCUUGUGUCACUGCUGGAGCCAAGCCCAGGCGGCCCAGGUGGCUCCUGGAUAAGGAAAGAGGCCAGGCAUUUGUUGGUUCUGGGAACUCAAGCUACAGAAGAUGAGUUAUUAAGACAGGCUGGGGUUGUAGGCAGGACCUUUAUAAUGCUGCUUCCCAGACUCGCUCUGGUCCCAGCUGGUCCUGAAAAUCCCCCACCUCCACACAGGGAGCCAACUGAAAACUCACACACAUGAGCAUGCACACGCGUGUCCACACACGUGUGUCACUGCCCCUGUGCCUUAGAGGCUGCUCAGGAUUCAUUAGCCAACAGGAAGCGGAGCUGGCCCUCUGGCCCUCGCUGUAAUUGUCCUGGAUAUCAGGUGCGCGCUUUGCCGGCAGCCCCUCCGCAAGUGGGCAUUUGUCAGCUGCCGGAGGUCCCACCCGAACCUCUCAGGUCUGUGCCAGGCAGGCCCUGAUCAGAGGCAGCUAUCUCAGCUCAGAAAGCAAUCCGAGUCUUCCUUCUAACAGAUGUCUUGACACUGUAGCCGGAGCUCGUUCACGAAUAUGAUUUAUUAACUAAUUUAGCGUGUAAGAAAAACAUCUGCAUCUCGCUUUUAUCAUCUUGCCAGCAGACAGGCUGAAGACAAGAUGUGUACUGCAGACUCGAUUAAUGGAGCCUUAAGCACUCCCUGCGCUUGUCCAGAGCUCGCACAAGGCUCUGGUUUCAGAAGUUGUCUGAUUGAGCCGACCUAACACAAACAAACACGAGAGUAAACCUCUCAUCAACCAUAAAUACCGCGGGGAUCGGAAGGGCGGCCAUGAAGUCGUGCGCUGAAGCCUGCCCAGAGCAUUCUAGUCAUCAGGACCGUCUCAGAAUUUGGGUAAUAAAAAGGUGCCUCGGUUAUUUAAGACUAUCGACUGGGUCUGAUCACCUUUUAUUAUUAUACACGAUUUUAAGAUUUUCAUUCAAAGGAACGUGAACAUGUAAGGAUAAUACCUGUUUGGGGCAAAAUAUCACCACUGGAUGCUGGAGUGGAUAGAACUGUCUCCCCAAAAAGAUAUGCUCAAGCCCCCUCCCUUGUAUCUGUGACUUGAUUUGGAAAUAGGGUCUUUGCAGAUGGAUGCAAGUUAAAAUGAGGUCAUACUGGAUGAGGGUGGGCCCUACUCCAAUGACUGGUGCCCUUAUAAGAAGAGGACAUUUGUACACAAAGACACACAGACACAAGGGAGACAGAGGCGGGGAUUAGAAUGACGCAUCUAUAAGCCAAGCAAUGCCAAGGAAUGCCAGAAGCUGCCAGAAGCUACCGGAGCGAGGAGAGGGGCAUCGGAUGGAUUCCCCCUCUGAGCUUCAGGAAGGAAUCAAUCCUGUGGACACCUGGAUUUUGGACUUCUGGCCUCCAGACUAUGAGAGAAUCAAGUUCUGUUACUUUAGCCACCCAGUCUAGGGUCAUUUCUUACAGCAGCCCUGGGAAGUGGAUACAGGUGACCAAGGCAGCUUCCCUCUGAUAUUUGAGAUGACGAUAGUCCAGAACACUGAGGCCCACGGUAUGGCACGGCCGGAAGGCAGCUGGCCCAGGGGACGAGCAGGAAUGGCCCCAUGCAUGACAAGUUCCCAAAUGUCCAUGCGUCUCCAUUGUUUUCUACACAAAGUGACGGGAGCUGACCGAAAAGCAAGACUCUUAGCCACCAUUUUUUGUGUAUACGUAUGUUGAGCUCUAACGUGACACUGUUUUAUAUUUGUUGACAACACAUUUGUUUAUCUAACCAUUUGCAUCAAGCAGGAUCUUCAAAAACGUUGAGGCCAAGUGGCCCACACACCAUGGGCACCCUGGCAGCCCUCCCCAGAACAAGCCUGGACACUGAAGGCCCUGGGGGGACCCCCAGUUGUAACUGACACUUGGUGCGUCAUGGCAACCUGAGAAAUCUGUACCCGAACCCAGAUUGCUCUCUGUGGAGCCAGAAACUAAGGAGCCGCCAGAGAACACACCCAAAUAGUCUAUAUCUGCCAAUCGGCUUCCAAAGCCGAUGAGAGACACGUUUUCAAGCAGGGAAAGUCUUUGCACAUGUAUUUUGUUCAUUUCCUUUUCUUAGCAUCCUGGAAAGUGUUACUGGGGCUGAGCAGCAGGUGUACUACUAAAUCCUUCACCACGAGAAGGAUGCGUUCAAGUUGCCCUUUCUGGGGUCUUGGACGACACCCCCAGCAGAAGUGCGGGGGGCUGAGGGGGACCUAGCCUGCCCGUGGUUAACAGGAAUCCUAUUCCAACCCCUCUGUCCUCUGUCCCCCACCCCCCCGUAAGAUCUUGGUAAUAUUUGCUAAGCUGCAUUUUAUUGAAUAUGGUUAUUUCCCCAGAGGACUUUUAUUCAGAAUUAGACCCAUGAUUUCACCUCCUGGGGGCCAGAACAUUUUUCUAGGAAGAAAGAUCUUGUUCCUCUAUCCAAAGAAAUAAAACGGAGGUUUCCCCAGGCCUCCAGAUUUUAAGAUUUGAGUUGGCAGGCCAUCAGAAUAUGCUCCCAUGUCCCCAUCUGUGCCCUUGUCUCUUCUUGUUAUUCUCGCUGGUUUAAUAGUCUGUUUAUAAGCUCCACGAAGAAAGGACGGAGGCCAGCCUUGCUCACUGCACUCUCCCCAGCUCCCAGCAUGAGGCCUGGCCCAGAGAAGGGUCCUGAUAACGCCUUCUCCAGUGAGUCAGUGAGUGCUGUCCUUGCAGGGUCAGUGCGACACCGGCCUCCCGGCGCUUGGAAAGCUGGCCAUCCCUUCUCUGAGCUCACAGCAGGAAAGGGGUUUCAAGAUGAUGAAUGUUGAUAUAGACAAACUGGAGUCAACCUCUCGCCCUGAGACCUGUUCUGCAAUCUCUCAAGGGCAAAGGGCACCUCUUGCAAAUAUCUGUUAAGGAGCCAAGAAUGUGAGCCGGCUACCCUGGGCUGCUACUUUCCCAGCUAAAGUGGUAAAUUCGUGUCCCAAGUUAUUUCUGCUGACUUCAGUGCCGUAUAUAAUCUCUCAAGAUGGGCUGGCUUCCAGGGCAGGCUGUAUGACCCUGAGGUUUGGGUACCUGGGCGAACAUGAGUCCUGCAUAUGGCAGGGACACCAUUUGGACCACCAGCUUGGGUGAAGGUCCCAGCCCCAGGAUCCGGCAGUCUCGCCAGCCCUCCCGAGCCACCUGUAGCUUACCGCUAA